This 465-nucleotide ribosomal RNA is filed under the name uncultured bacterium. RNAcentral's name for it is "partial 16S ribosomal RNA". It matches the Rfam family "Bacterial small subunit ribosomal RNA", at positions 28 to 507 of the family's 1533-position model. The record is from RNAcentral.
GACGAACGCUGGCGGCGUGCUUAACACAUGCAAGUCGAACGGAAAGGCCCUGCUUGCAGGGUACUCGAGUGGCGAACGGGUGAGUAACACGUGGGUGAUCUGCCCUGCACUUCGGGAUAAGCUUGGGAAACUGGUUCUAAUACCGGAUAGGACCGCACUUUAGUGUGUGUGGUGGAAAGUUUUUUCGGUGUAGGAUGAGCUCGCGGCCUAUCAGCUUGUUGGUGGGGUAAUGGCCUACCAAGGCGGCGACGGGUAGCCGGCCUGAGAGGGUGUACGGCCACAUUGGGACUGAGAUACGGCCCAGACUCCUACGGGAGGCAGCAGUGGGGAAUAUUGCACAAGGGGCGCAAGCCUGAUGCAGCGACGCCGCGGGGGGGAUGAAGGCCUUCGGGUUGUAAACUCCUUUCGCUAGGGACGAAGCUUUUUGUGACGGUACCUAGAUAAGAAGCACCGGCUAACUACGUG